RNAcentral lists this unclassified non-coding RNA (2122 nucleotides) under Hevea brasiliensis (rubber tree). Lineage: Eukaryota; Viridiplantae; Streptophyta; Magnoliopsida; Malpighiales; Euphorbiaceae. The record is from RNAcentral.
UUUUCAAUCCUUUUAUAUUUAACCUAAUACCAUUAAUUUCUACCCAUCACCAUCCAAUAGCCCAUUCAUGGAGUCUCAGGAUGAACUCCAGGAACCCAUUUUACAGUCACUGCCUGAUCCACCUGCCCAUUCUGAAGGGAACUCCAGGCUCGAAAAGGUGCUGAACGAUCACCAAUUGCCGUACUUCAAGCGCCUCCGUUUGGCUUCAUGGAUUGAACUUAAGCUCCUCUUCCGCCUGGCUGCACCGACAGUUUUUGUUUACAUGAUCAACAAUUUGAUGUCCUUAUCCACCAGAGUCUUCGCCGGCCAUCUCGGUAAUCUUGAGCUUGCUGCUGCCUCUCUUGGCAAUAGCGGCGUCCAACUCUUUGCCUAUGGCCUCAUGUUGGGGAUGGGAAGUGCAGUGGAAACUCUAUGUGGUCAAGCUUAUGGAGCUCACAGAUAUGAAAUGCUUGGCACAUACCUCCAAAGAGCAACGGUUGUGCUAACUAUAACUGGGAUACCAAUUACUAUGAUUUACCUUUUCUCAGAGCCUAUCUUGCUCUUACUGGGAGAGCCAAGCAAAGUGGCAGCAGCAGCCGCAGUGUUUGUUUAUGGUCUAAUACCUCAAGUUUUUGCUUAUGCUGUGAAUUUUCCGACACAAAAAUUCCUUCAAGCUCAGAGCAUAGUGAACCCAAGUGCUGUUAUAUCAGCAACUACUCUUGUGCUGCACUUAUUUCUCACCUGGCUUGCAGUGUAUCAGAUGGGUUUGGGAUUAAUAGGCACUUCAUUGGUGUUAAGCUUGUCAUGGUGGAUCAUAGUUGGUGCCCAGUUUAUUUAUAUAUUGAAAAGUAGUCGGUGUAAGCAGACAUGGAAUGGUUUUACCUUGCAGGCCUUUUCUGGACUUUGGGAGUUUGUGAAACUAUCACUAGCAUCGGCAAUAAUGCUGUGCUUGGAGACUUGGUACUUUCAGAUAUUAGUGUUGAUUGCUGGUCUGCUCAAGAACCCUGAGAUUGCCUUGGAUUCCCUUGCUGUAUGUACGGCUGUAAGUGCGUUGCUAUUCAUGGUCUCAGUCGGAUUCAAUGCAGCUGCAAGUGUCAGAGUUAGCAAUGAAUUAGGAGCAGGGAAUCCCAAGUCAGCAGCAUUCUCAGUUGUGAUGGUGACUCUGGUUUCCUUCAUAAUAGCAGUUAUAGAAGCUGUGAUUGUGCUUGCUCUGCGCUAUGUAAUUAGCUAUGCUUUCACUAGUGGAGAAACUGUAGCCAAUGCUGUCUCAGAACUUUGUCCUUUUUUGGCAGUCACCCUAGUACUUAAUGGGGUUCAACCAGUCCUCUCCGGUAAGAAUUCUUCUACUCAGGUCCUGUAACUCAGCACGAGAACUUCAAGUUUCCAUAAGUGGUUAACUGAUAUGAUAAAAAGAGUCAACUAAUAUGAUGGGCAAUGUGACUGCUGGCUUGUAUCGUCAAUAUAUGUUGGUCGGCUAAUUGACAACUUCAUAAUUGUGAAGGAGUUGCUGUUGGGUGUGGAUGGCAAGCAUUUGUGGCAUAUGUAAAUGUGGGAUGCUAUUAUGUGGUUGGAAUUCCUUUGGGUUGUCUUCUUGGGUUUAAGUUCGAUCUUGGUGCAAAGGGAAUAUGGGGUGGGAUGAUAGGAGGAACUGUGAUGCAGACUUUCAUUUUAUUAUGGGUGACUUUGUGCACAGAUUGGAACAAAGAGGUAGAGAAGGCUAAAAUUCGUUUGGACAAAUGGGAUGAUAAAACAAAGCAGCAUCGACCAUCACAGGAUUUUUUCACAUUCAUAAAUAAAUGUUCUGAACAAACAUUAAUUAACCAAAAUAUUUUUUCAAUUAUCACCAUGUGUCGAAUGUGGCUGAUUGUUGUUAACCGUUUGAUUGCUGGACUUCGUGAGAGCAAAAGCUAAAGCAUCUCUUUUAAUAAUUAAAUUGAAAUAAUUGAAAUAAUUAUGCUUAUUGAGCCCCUACCUUCCAUCAAUGAGGUUUUCUUCAACAAGAGAGGCGGAUGCCUAAUGAUCUUAAUCCCAAGGUGUUUGUGAAUAAAUCUGUUCCAAAUUCAAGCACUUACAAGAUGGCAUUGCUGCUUUUUGUGGGUCGAUUUUAUUCCUUGUUGCGCAGAUUUUGUUUGCCAAUUUGUGG